UACGAAAGGGGCAAGCGUUGUUCGGAUUUACUGGGCGUAAAGGGCACGCAGGCGGUCUUGCCAGUCAGGGGUGAAAGCCCGGGGCUCAACCCCGGAACUGCCUCUGAUACUGCAGGACUAGAGACUAGGAGAGGGUGGUGGAAUUCCCAGUGUAGAGGUGAAAUUCGUAGAUAUUGGGAGGAACACCAGAGGCGAAGGCGGCCAUCUGGCUGAUAACUGACGCUGAGGUGCGAGAGCGUGGGGAGCAAACAGG
Molecule: ribosomal RNA, 253 nt
Filed under: uncultured microorganism
Description: partial 16S ribosomal RNA
Rfam family: Bacterial small subunit ribosomal RNA
Source: RNAcentral